CGCCUUGCCAGCCCGCUCAGAAACUUAAAGGAAUUGACGGGGCCCGGCACAAGCGGUGGAGCAUGUGGUUUAAUUCGAUGAUACGCGAGGAACCUUACCUGGGCUCAAAUGUAUGUUGACGUAUUCUGAAAGGGAUACUUCUUCGGACAAUAUACAAGGUGCUGCAUGGUUGUCGUCAGCUCGUGCCGUGAGGUGCCGGGUUAAGUCCCAUAACGAGCGCAACCCCUACCUUUAGUUGCCAUCAGGUAAUGCUGGGGACUCUAAAGGAACUGCCUACGCAAGUAGUGAGGAAGGCGGGGAUGACGUCAAAUCAGCACGGCCCUUACGUCCAGGGCUACACACGUGCUACAAUGGCCGAUACAGAGGGCAGCUACCUGGUGACAGGAUGCAAAUCUCCAAAGUCGGUCUCAGUUCGGAUCGGAGUCUGCAACCCGACUCCGUGAAGUUGGAUUCGCUAGUAAUCGCGCAUCAGCCAUGGCGCGGUGAAUACGUUCCCGGGCCUU
This 503-nucleotide ribosomal RNA is filed under the name uncultured Sphingobacteriales bacterium. RNAcentral describes it as "bacterial SSU rRNA". It matches the Rfam family "Bacterial small subunit ribosomal RNA", at positions 903 to 1382 of the family's 1533-position model. The record is from RNAcentral. Lineage: Bacteria; Pseudomonadati; Bacteroidota; Sphingobacteriia; Sphingobacteriales.